Molecule: ribosomal RNA, 198 nt
Filed under: uncultured bacterium
Lineage: Bacteria
Description: partial 16S ribosomal RNA
Rfam family: Bacterial small subunit ribosomal RNA
Source: RNAcentral
ACGCUCGACACCUACGGAGGCAGCAGUCGGGAAUAUUGCGCAAUGGAGGAAACUCUGACGCAGUGACGCCGCGUAUAGGAAGAAGGUUUUCGGAUUGUAAACUAUUGUCGUUAGGGAAGAAAAAAGACAGUACCUAAGGAGGAAGCUCCGGCUAACUACGUACCAGCAGCCGCGGUAAUCUGAGCGGGCUGGCAAGGC